UACGGAGGAUCCAAGCGUUAUCCGGAUUUAUUGGGUUUAAAGGGUGCGUAGGCGGUUUUAUAAGUUAGAGGUGAAAAUUCGGGGCUCAACUCCGGACGUGCCUCUAAUACUGUAUGACUAGAGAAUAGAUGCGGUAGGCGGAAUGUAUGGUGUAGCGGUGAAAUGCGUAGAGAUCAUACAGAACACCGAUUGCGAAGGCAGCUUACCAAACUAUAUCUGACGUUGAGGCACGAAAGCGUGGGGAGCAAACAGG
RNAcentral lists this ribosomal RNA (253 nucleotides) under uncultured bacterium. Its description in RNAcentral is "partial 16S ribosomal RNA". It matches the Rfam family "Bacterial small subunit ribosomal RNA", at positions 524 to 776 of the family's 1533-position model. The record is from RNAcentral.